AAGCUCGUAGUUGAAUUUCGGGGUUAGUAGGUUGGUCAUGCCUCUGGUAUGUACUGGUCUCACUGACUCCUCCUUCCUUAUGAACCGUAAUGCCAUUAAUUUGGUGUUGCGGGGAAUUUGGACUGUUACUUUGAAAAAAUUAGAGUGUUUAAAGCAAGCUAACGCUUGAAUACAUUAGCAUGGAAUAAUGAAAUAGGACGUUCGAUCUUAUUUUGUUUGGCUUCUAGGAUUGACGUAAUGAUUAAUAGGGAUAGUUGGG
This 259-nucleotide ribosomal RNA is filed under the name uncultured Glomus. RNAcentral describes it as "partial 18S ribosomal RNA". It matches the Rfam family "Eukaryotic small subunit ribosomal RNA", at positions 624 to 886 of the family's 1831-position model. The record is from RNAcentral. Lineage: Eukaryota; Fungi; Glomeromycota; Glomeromycetes; Glomerales; Glomeraceae.